CUACGGGAGGCAGCAGUGGGGAAUAUUGCGCAAUGGGCGAAAGCCUGACGCAGCAACGCCGCGUGGGGGAUGAAGGCUCUCGGGUUGUAAACCCCUUUCAGCAGGGACGAAUCAAGACGGUACCUGCAGAAGAAGCCCCGGCUAACUACGUGCCAGCAGCCGCGGUAACACGUAGGGGGCAAGCGUUGUCCGGAUUUAUUGGGCGUAAAGAGCUCGUAGGCGGCUCGGUAAGUCGGGUGUCAAAUCCCCAGGCUCAACCUGGGGCUGCACUCGAUACUGCUGUGGCUAGAGUCCGGUAGGGGAGCAUGGAAUUCCUGGUGUAGCGGUGAAAUGCGCAGAUAUCAGGAGGAACACCAGCGGCGAAGGCGGUGCUCUGGGCCGGAACUGACGCUGAGGAGCGAAAGCGUGGGUAGCAAACAGGAUUAGAUACCCGGGUAGUCC
Molecule: ribosomal RNA, 441 nt
Filed under: uncultured bacterium
Lineage: Bacteria
Description: bacterial SSU rRNA
Rfam family: Bacterial small subunit ribosomal RNA
Source: RNAcentral